AUGUCAACUGGUGAAAUAGUUGCUGUGAAGGUGCUGGCAACUGAUUCAAAGCAAGGGGAGCGAGAAUUUGAAACAGAGGUUAAGCUGUUAGGAAGGUUGCAUCACAGGAACCUCUUGAAUUUGCUUGGAUAUUGUACAGAGAAGGG
This is a long non-coding RNA of Chenopodium quinoa (quinoa), 146 nucleotides long. RefSeq lists it as uncharacterized. The record is from RefSeq and is a predicted model, not a curated record. The transcript is spliced from 2 exons. Lineage: Eukaryota; Viridiplantae; Streptophyta; Magnoliopsida; Caryophyllales; Amaranthaceae.